CACAUGCACACACUCACAAACACACAGCACACAUGGAUAACCAUCCAUCUCCAGUGCACUAGCUCUAUCCUCAGGCUGUGGACUCACCCGGUGAGGACAACCACGAAGUCCAUUACGUUCCAGCCGUUACGAAGAGAGAGGGAGUGAAAGAAGAAGGGAUUACUGUUUUUGUUCAGAGGAAGAGAGAAUUUAAUGAAGCAUCGAAGGAGAAAUGGAGUAAGAGGAAAAAGCAACGAAGAAUGGCUUAAGAAACACGGGCUCACUUUGUGAUGAGGGAAAUGAAAUGAAGUGUUACACCGGGUUAAACCUUUUCAAACGAUAAGAUGACUCCGCCCACUUCCACAGGGCAUGAUCUCAGGCUGAUUCAACAGUGUAGCAGUCAAAACCACCACCAUCAACGCGUCAAUGUGAGGCAAUACCUUUUGGAAGAAUAGGGUUUAUCACAUCACUACAGUUCUAGAGGCUUCUACAAUCUGUGGCAAAAUGAAACGAAUCUGUUUUGGCAGCUCUCUGUUUCACUUACGUUUGUUGCCUGUCUGUAUUUUCCUAACAGCUCACAGGAUGUGAGGAAAACCAUUCCCAGCAUAGUUAAUUGGUACAUUUAAUUGCUGUUAUAAACAUCCAAAUAUCACAUAUUUCAA
Long non-coding RNA from Tachysurus fulvidraco (yellow catfish), 641 nucleotides. RefSeq lists it as uncharacterized. The transcript is spliced from 3 exons. NCBI's taxonomy places the organism in Eukaryota, Metazoa, Chordata, Actinopteri, Siluriformes, Bagridae. The record is from RefSeq and is a predicted model, not a curated record.